CCAGCAGCCGCGGUAAUACGGAGGAUGCAAGCGUUAUCCGGAAUUAUUGGGCGUAAAGCGUCCGUAGGUGGUUUAUCAAGUCUGCUGUCAAAGCGUGCGGCUUAACCGCAUAAGGGCAGUGGAAACUGAUGAACUAGAGUGCGAUAGGGGUAACAGGAAUUCCCAGUGUAGCGGUGAAAUGCGUAGAUAUUGGGAAGAACACCAGCGGCGAAAGCGUGUUACUGGGUCUGCACUGACACUGAGGGACGAAAGCUAGGGGAGCGAAAGGGAUUAGAUACCCCUGUAGUCCUAGCCGUAAACGAUGACAACUAGGCGUGGUUCGUAUCGACCCGAGCCGUGCCGUAGCCAACGCGUUAAGUUGUCCGCCUGGGGAGUACGCACGCAAGUGUGAAACUCAAAGGAAUUGACGGGGGCCCGCACAAGCGGUGGAGUAUGUGGUUUAAUUCGAUGCAACGCGAAGAACCUUACCAAGGCUUGACAUCCUCGGAACCCUGAUGAAAGUUAGGGGUGCCUUCGGGAGCCGAGAGACAGGUGGUGCAUGGCUGUCGUCAGCUCGUGUCGUGAGAUGUUGGGUUAAG
This 578-nucleotide ribosomal RNA is filed under the name Leptolyngbya sp. UIC 10070. RNAcentral describes it as "bacterial SSU rRNA". It matches the Rfam family "Bacterial small subunit ribosomal RNA", at positions 508 to 1084 of the family's 1533-position model. Lineage: Bacteria; Bacillati; Cyanobacteriota; Cyanophyceae; Leptolyngbyales; Leptolyngbyaceae. The record is from RNAcentral.